AAAAUUAUCCCUGAUAUUAUGAUCUGUGUUUUUUUUUUUUUUUCAUAAUUCUUUCUUUAGCUUUUUUUCAUCAAUAAAUUAAUAAAUACAAAUGUAACCUUUAUUAAUGCUGUUUGGGACUUAAAUAUGAAUAUUUGUUUUAGGGGAAAUAUAAUGUCAUUUUCUUAAUAUUUCUUUAUUGUAUUUUACAGAUGCAUAGCAUUAAAGACCUUGUUUGAAAAAUGUCAUAAGAUAUGGGUUUAUGUAUAGUUUUCUUAAAGCAUUACUUUUUGUAAUGAUGGAUUUAACUGGUGAAGUUUCAAGUGGUGCUGUUGAUCUUGCUAAAAAUAAUUUACAAACGAUGCUCACUACUUACUGUAAACAUUAUCCUGGUGAUGAUGCAGACAUGGUUGCAGCUCAAAACAAAGCUGUAAUUGAAGUUGUUCAAGAACUUGUACGACAGCCGACUCAACCAAAUACUUGUGUUAGAGAUCAGA
This is a non-coding RNA of Parasteatoda tepidariorum (common house spider), 476 nucleotides long. Lineage: Eukaryota; Metazoa; Arthropoda; Arachnida; Araneae; Theridiidae. The record is from RefSeq and is a predicted model, not a curated record.